GUUGGGUAGGGGAGCGUUCUGUAAGCCUGCGAAGGUGUACUGUGAGGUAUGCUGGAGGUAUCAGAAGUGCGAAUGCUGACAUAAGUAACGAUAAUGCGGGUGAAAAACCCGCACGCCGGAAGACCAAGGGUUCCUGUCCAACGUUAAUCGGGGCAGGGUGAGUCGACCCCUAAGGCGAGGCUGAAAAGCGUAGUCGAUGGGAAACGGGUUAAUAUUCCCGUACUGGUGGUAACUGCGAUGGGGGAACGGAGAAGGCUAGGUUGUCCGGGCGACGGUCGUCCCGGUUCAAGCAGGUAGGCAGAGUGAUUAGGCAAAUCCGGUCACUUAAUGCUGAGAUGUGAUGACGAACCACUAAGGUGGUGAAGCAAUUGAUGCCCCGCUUCCAGGAAAAGCCUCUAAGCUUCAGGUUACCAACAAUCGUACCCCAAACCGACACAGGUGGUCAGGUAGAGAAUACUCAGGCGCUUGAGAGAACUCGGGUGAAGGAACUAGGCAAAAUGGUGCCGUAACUUCGGGAGAAGGCACGCUGGCGGUAGGUAAAGUCCCUCGCGGACGGCGCUGAAGCCAGUCGAAGAUACCAGCUGGCUGCAACUGUUUAUUAAAAACACAGCACUGUGCAAACACGAAAGUGGACGUAUACGGUGUGACGCCUGCCCGGUGCUGGAAGGUUAAUUGAUGGGGUUAGCCGUAAGGCGAAGCUCCUGAUCGAAGCCCCAGUAAACGGCGGCCGUAACUAUAACGGUCCUAAGGUAGCGAAAUUCCUUGUCGGGUAAGUUCCGACCUGCACGAAUGGCGUAAUGAUGGCCAGGCUGUCUCCACCCGAGACUCAGUGAAAUUGAACUCGCUGUGAAGAUGCAGUGUACCCGCGGCAAGACGGAAAGACCCCGUGAACCUUUACUAUAGCUUGACACUGAACAUUGAGCCUUGAUGUGUAGGAUAGGUGGGAGGCUUUGAAGUGUGGACGCCAGUCUGCAUGGAGCCAACCUUGAAAUACCACCCUUUAACGUUUGAUGUUCUAACCUAGGCCCAUAAACUGGGUCGGGGACCGUGUCUGGUGGGUAGUUUGACUGGGGCGGUCUCCUCCUAAAGAGUAACGGAGGAGCACGAAGGUUGGCUAAGCAUGGUCGGACAUCAUGCGGUUAGUGCAAAGGCAUAAGCCAGCUUGACUGCGAGAGUGACGGCUCGAGCAGGUACGAAAGUAGGUCUUAGUGAUCCGGUGGUUCUGAAUGGAAGGGCCAUCGCUCAACGGAUAAAAGGUACUCCGGGGAUAACAGGCUGAUACCGCCCAAGAGUUCAUAUCGACGGCGGUGUUUGGCACCUCGAUGUCGGCUCAUCACAUCCUGGGGCUGAAGUAGGUCCCAAGGGUAUGGCUGUUCGCCAUUUAAAGUGGUACGCGAGCUGGGUUUAGAACGUCGUGAGACAGUUCGGUCCCUAUCUGCCGUGGGCGUUGGAAGAUUGAGAGGGGUUGCUCCUAGUACGAGAGGACCGGAGUGAACGCACCACUGGUGUUCGGGUUGUCAUGCCAAUGGCAUUGCCCGGUAGCUAAGUGCGGAAGAGAUAACCGCUGAAAGCAUCUAAGCGGGAAACUUGCCUCGAGAUGAGUCUUCCCUGUCGCUUUAAGCGACCUAAAGGAACGUUUAAGACUAAGACGUUGAUAGGCUGGGUGUGUAAGCGUAGCGAUACGUUGAGCUAACCAGUACUAAUGAACCGUGAGGCUUAACCUG
Molecule: ribosomal RNA, 1724 nt
Filed under: Proteus mirabilis
Lineage: Bacteria; Pseudomonadati; Pseudomonadota; Gammaproteobacteria; Enterobacterales; Morganellaceae
Description: partial 23S ribosomal RNA
Rfam family: Bacterial large subunit ribosomal RNA
Source: RNAcentral